GAUGAGCGCUGACAGAAUGCUUAACACAUGCAAGUCUACUUGAACUUCGGUUUGGGUGGCGGACGGGUGAGUAACGCGUAAAGAACUUGCCUCACAGUUAGGGACAACAUUUGGAAACGAAUGCUAAUACCUGAUAUUAUGAUUUUAGGGCAUCCUAGGAUUAUGAAAGCUAUAUGUGCUGUGAGAGAGCUUUGCGUCCCAUUAGCUAGUUGGAGAGGUAACGGCUCACCAAGGCGAUGAUGGGUAGCCGGCCUGAGAGGGUGAACGGCCACAAGGGGACUGAGACACGGCCCUUACUCCUACGGGAGGCAGCAGUGGGGAAUAUUGGACAAUGGACCAAAAGUCUGAUCCAGCAAUUCUGUGUGCACGAUGACGUUUUUCGGAAUGUAAAGUGCUUUCAGUUGGGAAGAAAAAAAUGACGGUACCAACAGAAGAAGUGACGGCUAAAUACGUG
Molecule: ribosomal RNA, 454 nt
Filed under: uncultured bacterium
Lineage: Bacteria
Description: partial 16S ribosomal RNA
Rfam family: Bacterial small subunit ribosomal RNA
Source: RNAcentral